RNAcentral lists this ribosomal RNA (207 nucleotides) under uncultured bacterium. RNAcentral describes it as "partial 16S ribosomal RNA". It matches the Rfam family "Bacterial small subunit ribosomal RNA", at positions 568 to 774 of the family's 1533-position model. The record is from RNAcentral.
UGCGCAGGCGGUUGUGUAAGACAGGCGUGAAAUCCCCGGGCUUAACCUGGGAACUGCGCCUGUGACUGCACGACUAGAGUAUGGCAGAGGGGGGUGGAAUUCCACGUGUAGCAGUGAAAUGCGUAGAGAUGUGGAGGAACACCGAUGGCGAAGGCAGCCCCCUGGGCCAAUACUGACGCUCAUGCACGAAAGCGUGGGGAGCAAACA